RNA transcript from Cercocebus atys (sooty mangabey), 4614 nucleotides. It is a transcript of the gene named pregnancy-specific beta-1-glycoprotein 2-like, with no coding region annotated. The transcript is spliced from 3 exons. The record is from RefSeq and is a predicted model, not a curated record. Lineage: Eukaryota; Metazoa; Chordata; Mammalia; Primates; Cercopithecidae.
CCUGUCCCAGGCACCGGGGUGCAACCAAGAUCACAAACAUCUCUGUCCUUACAGAGCUCAUGCUCUCAUGGGCAGGAAGACAGACCUGCAAAGAGAUCUGGAAUGUGAUAUCAGGUGUUGACAAGAGCUCCGGAGGGAGCAGAGCAUGGAAAGGUCAGAAAGGGAAGACCCAGGGUCUCUGAAGGAGGUGUCAGGAAAGAAGUCUAAGGAUGCCCUGAUGUGAGCAGGACGUGAGGGUGUUGUGGAGGGAGCCAUGCAGAUCCCUGGGGAAGAGGAUUUCAAAGAGAAAAAUGCCGAGGUCAGAAGUGUUGAAUGAAUGGGGGUCGUGCUGCUGACCUUGACCCAGUAGGACAGUAGGACAAAAACACAAUACACACACAUACACACAAAGAGGGGUGUGUGUGUUUGUGUGUGUGUGUCUACAAGGCAGAUGACUGAAGAGAUCUUCUGAGGACCCAGGGCCCCAUCUUUUUACCCCAAUACAUAGGUCUCAAUAUUGACUGAUGCUCUCUCCACCUCCUAGCAUCACUUUUAAUCUUCUGGAACCCGCUCACCACUGCCCAAGUCACGAUUGAAGCACAGCCAACCAAAGUUUCUGAGGGAAAGGAUGUUCUGCUACUUGUCUACAAUUUGCCCCAGAAUCUUACUGGCUACAGGUGGUACAAAGGGCAAAUAAUGGACCUCCAGCAUUACAUUGCAGCAUAUACAACAGACACUGAAAUGAUUAUAUUUGGGCCUGCAUACAGUGGACGAGAAACAGUAUAUUCCAAUGCAUCCCUGUUGAUCCAGAAUGUCACCAAGAAUGACACAGGAUCCUACACCAUUCAAAUCACAAAGCGAGGUGAUGGGACUAAAGGAGUAACUGGACAUUUCACCUUAUACCUGGAGACUCCCAAGCCCUACAUCUCCAGCAGCAACUUAAACCCCAGGGAGUGCACGGAGACUGUGAUCUUAUCCUGUGAUCCUGACACUCAGGAUGUCAGCUACCUGUGGUGGAUAAAUGGUCAGAACCUCCCUAUCAGUAGCAAGUUGCAACUGUCCGAAAACAACAGGACCCUCAGUCUAUUUGGUGUCACAAAGGAUACUGCAGGACCCUAUGAAUGUGAAAUGAAGAACCCAGGGAGUUCCAGCCACAGUGACCCAGUCACCUUGAAUCUCCUCUAUGGUCCACACAUCCCCAGCAUUUUCUCUCCAUUCCCCUAUUACCGUUCAGGAGAAAACCUCUACUUGUACUGCUUCGCGGACUCUAACCCACCAGCAGAGUAUUCUUGGACGAUUAAUGGAAAGUUUCUGCAAUCAGGACAAGACCUUUUUAUCCGUGAAAUUACUACAAAUCAUAGUGGAAUCUAUGGUUGCUCCGCUCGUAACUCAGCCACUGGCAGUGGAAGUUCCACAUCCAAGAUGAUCAAAGUCUCUGGUAAGUGGAUCCUGCAUCACUGGCAAUAGGGUUUUAGGUGGAGUCUAUCUGGCUUUCAGAGAAGACCCAGGAAAACAUUUUAAUUCCCAGCCUGUGUCCCAUUGGCAGAAGGAAAUCCUAAAUUCUCCUCCUGAACCCUCCCAAUUUGUCUCCACGGACUCUCUUCUCCUUGUUUUCCUGUUUUCUCAUGGCUGACUUUGCGUCCAGACUGAGAAAUGUAGGGAGGGGGCUUUGUCAGUCCUGAGCCCUAUGUGGUGGAAGCAGCUUCACAGAGGGACAAGAAGGAGAGUCCUCAAGGUCAAGUUGCUUCUUGCUGUCACCAAUACAUCCCUUUCUGCCACGUCUUUUUUUCCCCUACUGCAUGACCUACAAGGAGCAUCCGAGGCUUUGAAACAAGCUCACAUUUUUCCCCCAAAUGAGAGUAGGAAACCCCUUGGAUGAGAGAGGAGCAGCUCAGACUGCUCCCUAAUCUGCUCCAGGCUUCUCCGGUGACUGGCCCUGCCUGACUCCACCUGGUGUGGGACCAGCAUGUGUGGAGAAAGAGCCCUGGUGGCCUCUCCUGAAUUCGGCUAAAUCGAACUGCCAGUUGAUAUGAAGGCUAGGCUGCAGGGAAAUUAAAAGAAAGGGAGCCUCGGGGCAGACUCUUGAGCUGUGUCCUGGCUCUGAAGUCACCGGUUGUAUGAGGCUGUGGGCACAGCACGUGGGACACAGCACAGAGGACAGUGAGUGAUGCACACUUGGAGACAUAGGGAGAUUCACCUCUGGGGUUCUGCAUGGCAGGAAAGGGGCUAUGCCAAAAAGUGUGUAUUUAUAGAGUGUAAGACUACCAGGACACUUUAUAUAUAUCCAAUAUAAGGCUUAUCAUUAACUAUUUCUAAGUGUGCCAUUUAGUGUUGUGUAACCAUCACACUAUCAAUUUCCAGAACUUUUUCCUUUUACCAUAUUAAACCUCUGUACCCAAUAAACAGUAACUCUCACGCCUUCUCACCCUAACCCUUAGCACCCACCAUUCUACUUUCUGUCUCUAUGUAACUGGCUAUUCUAUCUUUUAUAAAUGGAAUUAUAGAAUAAUUAUCCUUUCAUGUCUGGCUUAAUUCAGUUAGCAUAAUGUCUUCAAGGUUCAUCCACUUUGCACGAUGUAUUGGAAUUUUAUUCCUUGUUAAGGUUGAAUAACAUUUCGAUGUAGAGAUAUACGUCAUUUCCCUACCCACUUAUCAUUCAAUGGAAUUUUCCAUUGUUUCCAUUUUUGGCUAUUGUAUGUAAUGCUUCGCUGAACAUUAAUGUGCAAAUAUUUGUUCAAAUUUCUUUCAAUUCUAUAGGCAGUAUGUCCAGAAGUGGAAUUGCUGGGUCGAAUGGUAAUUUAUUGUUUAAAUUUUUGAGAAACAGCCACACCACUUUUUACAGUGGCUAUAACAUUUCCCAUUCCCAUCAGCAAUGCACUAGAGCUCCAAUUUUUCCGUCUAUUUGAAAACACUUGCUUUGUGUUGCUGUCAUUGUUGUUAUCAAAGCCAUCCUAAAGUGUGUGAGGUGGUGUCACAUUGUGGUUUUAAUUUGCAUAUCUCUAAGUAUUCGUGAUGCUGAUGAGCUUUGCAUAGGCUUAUCGGAUAUUUGUAUACCUUCCUUGGAGAAAACUCUAUUUUAAUCCUUGGUUCAUUUUGUAAUUGUGUUUUUGGAUGUUUGCUGUUGUUAACUUGUAGUUUUUUGUGUAUUCUGGAAAUUAAUUUCUUAUCACACUUAUAAUUUGCAAAUAUUUUUCUCGUUUCAUGUGUUGCCUUCUGACUUUCUUGAUAAUGUUCUUCGAUAUGCAAAAGGUUUUCAUUUUUAUGAAGUCCAAUUUAUCCAUUUUAUUUGUUGCCUAUGCUUUUGUUGUUACAACCAAGAAAUCAUUGUGAAAUGCAAUAUCAUGAAGUUUUUAUCCUAUAUUUUCUUCUAAGAGUUGUAUAGAUUUUGCUCUUACAUUUAGAUCUUUGAUCCAUUGUGGGUUAAUUUUUGUAUAUGAUGUUAGGUACAGGUUCCACUCAUUUUUGCCCUUGGAUAUCCAGCUUUUCCAAUAUCAUUUGGUGAGCACUGUCCUUUCCCCCGUUGAACGAUCUUGACACACUCGAUGUAAAUCAUUUGGCCAUGUAUGCAAGUAUUUCUUUCUGGAGUCUCUGUUCCAUUUCAUUAAAUUCUAUGUCCUCCUUUAUGCCAGUACCACACUGUAUUGGUUACUGGGGCUUUGUAGUAAAUGCUGAAAUCAGGAAGUGUGAGUCCUCCAGCUUCAUUCUUCCUCUUCAAAUUUGUUUGUCUAUUUAGGGUCAUGAUUUUCAAUAUAAAUUUUAGGACGGAUUUUUCUUUUACUGCAAAAAUGUCACUGAGAUUCUUAGAGGAAUUAUAUUGAAUCUGCAGCUCACUUUGGGUUUCAUUGUCCUCCUGACAACAGUGAGUCUUCUAAUUCACGAAAAUAAAAUGUCUUUCAUUUUAUUGAUGUCAUCAUUAAGCAAUAUUUUAUGGAUUUCAGGUAUAAUUAUUUCACCUCUUUGGUUAAACUUAUUCCUAAAUAUUUUAUUCUUUUUGAUAUUAAUACAAAUUAAAUUUUUUUUCUUAAUUUCCCUUCGGAUUGUCCAUGGUUAGUGUAUUGAGAUAUGAAUGAUGUUUGAAUGUUGAUUUUGUAUUGUGGAACAUUACUGAAUUCAUUCAUCAAUUCUUAUAGGUUUGUUCCAUCUUUAGGAUUUUCUAGAUAUAAGUUCAAGUUAUCUCCGAACAGAAAUAAUUUUACUCCUUUCUUCCAAUUUGAAUGUCUUUUUUAAUACUCUUGCCUAAUUUUUCCGACUACACCUUUCAAUACUACAUUGAAUAGAAGUGUCCAAAGCAGCAUCCUUGUCUUGUUCCUGCUCAUACAGGGAAAGCUUUCAGUCUUUCUCCAUUGAGUAUGAUGUUAGCUUUGGGAUUUUCACAUAUUGCCUUUAUGUUGAGGUAGUUUCCUUCCAUUCUUAGAAUGUUUUUAUUAUGAAAAAAUAUUGAAUUUCAUCAAAUGCUUUUAUUGAUUCAAUCUUAUUACUGCUUAUAGUUCUAUUCAUAUUUUUGUGUUUUUCUAGGAAUUUGUCUAUUCCAUCUAGGUUAUACAGUUUAUUAGCAUACAAUUAUUUACAGUAAUUUCAUAAUCAUUAUUUUAUUAGAAUUGCUAGUAAUCAUUUCAUUUUCUGUUUUUUUUUUCU